UGGCGAACGGGUGAGUAACACGUGGGCAAUCUGCCCUGCACUCUGGGACAAGCCCUGGAAACGGGGUCUAAUACCGGAUACUGAUCAUCUUGGGCAUCCAAGGUGUUCGAAAGCUCCGGCGGUGCAGGAUGAGCCCGCGGCCUAUCAGCUUGUUGGUGAGGUAGUGGCUCACCAAGGCGACGACGGGUAGCCGGCCUGAGAGGGCGACCGGCCACACUGGGACUGAGACACGGCCCAGACUCCUACGGGAGGCAGCAGUGGGGAAUAUUGCACAAUGGGCGAAAGCCUGAUGCAGCGACGCCGCGUGAGGGAUGACGGCCUUCGGGUUGUAAACCUCUUUCAGCAGGGAAGAAGCGAAAGUGACGGUACCUGCAGAAGAAGCGCCGGCUAACUACGUGCCAGCAGCCGCGGUAAUACGUAGGGCGCGAGCGUUGUCCGGAAUUAUUGGGCGUAAAGAGCUCGUAGGCGGCUUGUCACGUCGGUUGUGAAAGCCCGGGGCUUAACCCCGGGUCUGCAGUCGAUACGGGCAGGCUAGAGUUCGGUAGGGGAGAUCGGAAUUCCUGGUGUAGCGGUGAAAUGCGCAGAUAUCAGGAGGAACACCGGUGGCGAAGGCGGAUCUCUGGGCCGAUACUGACGCUGAGGAGCGAAAGCGUGGGGAGCGAACAGGAUUAGAUACCCUGGUAGUCCACGCCGUAAACGGUGGGCACUAGGUGUGGGCAACAUUCCACGUUGUCCGUGCC
This 740-nucleotide ribosomal RNA is filed under the name Streptomyces paradoxus. RNAcentral describes it as "bacterial SSU rRNA". It matches the Rfam family "Bacterial small subunit ribosomal RNA", at positions 96 to 847 of the family's 1533-position model. Lineage: Bacteria; Bacillati; Actinomycetota; Actinomycetes; Kitasatosporales; Streptomycetaceae. The record is from RNAcentral.